Long non-coding RNA from Gossypium arboreum, 1779 nucleotides. RefSeq lists it as uncharacterized. NCBI's taxonomy places the organism in Eukaryota, Viridiplantae, Streptophyta, Magnoliopsida, Malvales, Malvaceae. The transcript is spliced from 3 exons. The record is from RefSeq and is a predicted model, not a curated record.
AAGAAGCCUCGCAUAAUGGAGGUUCAGCAUUGUGAAAAAGCCACCACUUAAACAAUGGCUUAUCUUCAACCAUUGAUCUUCUAUAUUUUGGUCUUGCAAUAUUCUGGCUUAUUCCCCCCCCCCCCCUUUUCUCUUUAGAUAAUGUUAAUGAUAAGGCUACUUUGUCACUAUACUAUAAAACACUGGAAAAAUUGCAGUGAAAAGCUGAGAUUGAAUGAGGAGAUAAUCAACAAAUGCUAUACUACUGGAUUUCGUUAUAAGCUUCUGCUGCAAUAAGCUAACGAGACUGCACAUCUGAAGCCACCUCAUGAAUAUGUACCAUGGGUGGUGGUGAAUAAUCAGCCACUCAGACAAGCGAGUUUGUUCAUUUCUCUCUUGGUGUCAUUGUGAAGUAAACAUUUUGUGACAAGUAACUUCAAUAUUUAUUUCACCGUUGUAGGACUUAGAAAAAUUUGUGAAAUAUGUGUGCCAAGCUUAUAAAGGAGAUCAUAAACCAGGUGCUUGCAAAGCACAAUCAUCCAGUCUCAGCUCAACCAUCCAUGCAUAAACCCAUCCGCCAGCAACUCCGGUUAUAGACUUCUACAAGCUGGCACUUCAAUUGCCUCCCUCAGCUGCUUGGCACUUCAAUUGCCUCCUUCAGCUUGCAGCUCUAGUCUGAACUCUAGAGCCCCAAUCCCAACCAAAUUUAAAAUACACGGAAUCUGAACACAAGAUGCUCAGGAGAAUCCAGUGCCCCUGUAUGAUGCAAGGAAUCCCCGCACCCAUCUGCAACCUAUUACAACAGCACAGGGACUUCAAGUACGCAUAGGUACAUUUAUCACCUAAAACUAUUAAACAAUUUAUCUGUCAUCUAACCAAAAUUUUGUUUUUUAUUUAAAAGUUUUUGUUGCAAAGUGAUCAAACUCUUUGGCAAGACUUACCCAUAUUAUGGCCAAUGUUGAAAUCGAAAGGGUUGUAUUGCUUGCCAAAUACAUAGGACAAUCGUGGUAAAUCUACGUAUGGAAAUUCUGUGACACUGGAUCCACUAUUGCACUGGCCGUAAAAUAAGCUUGAACAAUUUCGAAGUGUUCCAAGGAGAUGGGAUGGUCUCAACCUUCCAUAACAUAUAUACAUCUCCCUGAGUAGUAGAACAUUAGUUGAACAACUAAUGUUCUACUACUCCGAGAGAUGUAUACUUGUUAUGGAAGGCCGAGGCCAUCCCAUCUCCUUAGAACACCUCAAAAUUAUUCAAAUUUAUUUUACGGCCAAUGUAAUAGAGAAUCCAAUGUCAGAAAAUUCCCAUAGGUAGAUUUACCACUAUUGUCCUAUGUAUUUGGCAAACAAUACAACCCUUUCGAUUUCAAGUUUGGCCUGAGCAAGUCUUGCCAAAGAGUUUGAUUACUUUGCAACAAAAGCCUUUAAAUAAAUAAAAAAAAAUUUGGUUAGAUGACAGAUAAAUUACGUAAUAGUAUUAGGCGAUAAAUGUACCUAUGCGUACAUGAAGUCCCUGUGCUGUUGUAAUAGGUUGCAGAUGGAUGCAGGGAUUCCUUGCACCAUACAGGGGCACUGGAUUUUUCAACUUUUCAAACAAUGUACCAGUUUGUGUUAGCUAGCAUUUUAAAUAGAUAACACCAUGAAUUGCUUUGUGUCUUCGUUAUUGUCUAUAUUGACUACAAUUGCAGCAUCUCAGUUGAGUAAUACGCCUGUCCUUGACUUUUGUGGUUUUUAUUUAAGCUUCGGAGCUUAAAAAGCCCUUAAGAGAAAAUGAAAAAAAAAUUAUAAUUGAAUUUUUGUAUUGAA